RNAcentral lists this long non-coding RNA (615 nucleotides) under Felis catus (domestic cat). Its description in RNAcentral is "lncRNA (ENSFCAG00000047611.1)". Lineage: Eukaryota; Metazoa; Chordata; Mammalia; Carnivora; Felidae. The record is from RNAcentral.
UUCGGUUCUAUUUUUGCUCUUAGGGGUUCUGGAGGAGUAUGGCGUUCAAAGCCAAUCUUUGCCGUUCUUUUAUGAACGAACACAGAGAACGCGGCAAAGACUGGUCAGACGAUGAUAUCAACGAGAAAGCUAAUAUCGCCUGGUUGCAGGCGGCCGGUAGAGUUUUAACUGUGAACAAAAGGGCGCAAACAAAAAACGCUUUCUGCGGGAGAGAGAGUGACUUUUGAGUGGGCAGUAUUCAACUCAGAUGUUUUUCUUUUCUCUCCCUGAAAGCAAGGGAAGUGUUUAAAGACCCGUCUUAGUGCAAGCAACCCAGAAGACAUUAGCCUGCAGGCACUUGCGGACACAUUCACAAACAACGGUGUUCAUUAUGCAGCUAGGAAAUAAGAUAGGAGGUAGCAGAAUUUCAGAUUUUCACAUGAAACGAACCCUUCAGGCAUCAGGGACUUUGCCCUCUGUCUCAAGAAAUAAGCCACCAUUCCAAAUGUUGCCACACUGCAUACGGACCUCAGCCAGCUCUUGUACUCGGUCAUUGUCCCAACAUAUCCCCGGUUUCUUACCACCUGGGGGAUCUCACAUGCUUUUGUGCAAACCCCACACAAUCCUAAUUUCCAC